AAUGAACGCUGGCGGCGCGCCUAAUACAUGCAAGUCGAGCGAGAAGACGUAGCAAUACGUUUGUAAAGCGGCGAACGGGUGAGGAAUACAUGGGUAACCUACCCUAGAGUGGGGAAUAACUAGCCGAAAGGUUAGCUAAUACCGCGUACGCUCCUUGGACUUCGGUUCAGGGAGGAAAGCGAUGCCGAGGAUAUCGCGCUCUUGGAUGGGCUCAUGUCCUAUCAGCUGUUGGUGAGGUAACGGCUCACCAAGGCUUCGACGGGUAGCUGGUCUGAGAGGACGAUCAGCCACACUGGCACUGCGACACGGGCCAGACUCCUACGGGAGGCAGCAGUAAGGAAUAUUGCGCAAUGGGCGAAAGCCUGACGCAGCGACGCCGC
RNAcentral lists this ribosomal RNA (380 nucleotides) under uncultured bacterium. Its description in RNAcentral is "bacterial SSU rRNA". It matches the Rfam family "Bacterial small subunit ribosomal RNA", at positions 29 to 400 of the family's 1533-position model. The record is from RNAcentral.